Long non-coding RNA from Marmota monax (woodchuck), 3144 nucleotides. RefSeq lists it as uncharacterized. The record is from RefSeq and is a predicted model, not a curated record. Lineage: Eukaryota; Metazoa; Chordata; Mammalia; Rodentia; Sciuridae. The transcript is spliced from 3 exons.
CUCUCUCUCCUCUUUCCCUCUGUCUCCCACACACCCCGCCCAGCGACCCAGCGCUCUCACUGGAGGCUCGCGGGCGGCAUGGGGGACACUUCGCUGUCCUUGCCUGCUCUCCACCCGGGGGCGUAGAGGGAGGCCUUCCAGACCCUAGCGAAGCUGCGGAAUCCAGCAGGACGUGCGCGCGGGACCCUCCCAGUCAGGGAGACGGGAAAGGCUGCGGACCGCAGAGCGCUCGGGACCGCUUCCCCCUCGGCGCAGACCAGCCUCCUCCGGUGGAAACGCAGCAGCUGUUUUAACAAUUGAAAAGCAGCCCUACAGGACCAGCGAGCAGUGUGUGAAGCCAUUAAGGCUGACUAGGACAUUUACUCUGAUACCCCGGUGGAAGAAAGAUGGGAGAGGAGGUCAUUUUCAGAGGAAAAAGGUCUGAAGGAAGCAGAAGUGCCACCUGGGAGCUGGGACAGUCCCAGAGAUGUUUAGGAAGUGGAAGUGCCAGGGCUGGUGCUCACGGCCCAGCAGGGGGUGCAGGGAGGGGGCGUCCAGGGGACUCUGUUUUCUGGCUGGGCAGGAGGCAGGCGAUGGUGCAGGUACCAGGAGAAGCGCCCCACAGAAGGCAGACCUGGGAGCAGAGUGUGCAGCUCUGGGGUGCCCCUGUGAUGUCUGCAGGUGGCCCUGGGGUUGGUAGCCAGAGAGGAGUUCCUGGAGAGAGGGCCCAAGAGGGAAGGGACCUCAGGAGGCCUCAGCACGCAGGUGCUUGCACAGUCAGGGAGAGGAGGAAGGCAGGCCGGGAGGGAGGACCAGGGGAUGGGCACAGAUGCUGGGCACCUGAAGGGGAAGAGGGCUGUGAAAGAUAGAGGUGAAGGCCGGAGCGGGCAGUGCUAACACGGCGGGCAGAUCAGUGUCCCCGGGAGCCUGGCCUGGUGGCCCUAGUUCAUGUGGGCGGGGUGUGAAGGAGCAGAUGGUAGGGCAGAGGCCUGGGGUCCUGGGGACAGAGGCUGUGAACUCACAGACCUCGCAGUCUGGCCCUGAGGGAGAGGCGUGCAAGGAGAGCACUGUAGCAUGGUAGACACCUCCUGCUGGCUUCUCUUGAGUCACCUGGUCUGGGUUACCUGGUGCCUAGGGAGGAGCAGUGGAGAGGGAGGCCCAAAGGCCAAAGCAGAGUGGGGCUGGUCGAGUUCUCAGAGGUCAGUUCUCUCCUCAGGACAGCAGGGCCUCAGUCCACCCAUGAGGGUCACAGUGUUGGUAGAGUUCACAUAAACCAGUGACUGUGGAUUGCCACCAGGAAGAAGCUGCGGCCUAUGGCUCUGAAUCACUCAUGAACCACAGACCUGCGUCUAUGGACAGGUCUUGAAAGAGCUCCGUAAAGGGGACAUUCACGAGAAUUCCUAAAACAAAACAGAACAAAAUGUCCGUGAUUUCAAAUCAGGAUUUGCAUGUAUCAAUGUACCCUGUUUUUCUUUUCAAAAAAUGGGCCACUGGUGAACCAGUGGCAUUGACUAUUUAAAACAUGUGUCCUUGGGGUAUUUAAAGGGGCAUCAGACAGCACUUGGAUAUUUAGCCAGACAGACUUAUAAUCCUAGAGUCUGACAAUUAUUUGCCAUAGGACAAAACUUCUCUGAGCAUCAGGGUUUUUCAAAUAAAAAUGGAACCAACUAUAACUGAUUUACUGAUUUUGUAGCAUUGGAUAACAGAACUAUGCAAGUGCGGGGCACGUUCUACUUAUAUGGGAAUUUGCUUUUUAAACGAGGAGAGGCACAGAUAUUCACUCAAUAGGAAAAGCCAGUCCACAAUGAUUAAAAGGUUAAGAAUGCGAUCUUGGGCUGUUUAGGAGGCCUUCCAGUGCCAGCCUGCAGCCGGCCUCCCGUGUGGUCCACAGACCCCUGGGGCUCCUCAGAGCUGGCUUUCCUGGGAGGUCUGCAAGGCCAGAGCUGUUUUUGACUGAAUUCUGAGACAUUAGCUUGCCUUUAAAAAAAAAAUACUGUGUUGACAUUUGCACUAAUGGUACAAAAACGCUGGUGGGAAAGCGGCCGGCACCUUGGCUAGAUCAAGCAGUGGCACUAGGCUGUCCUCAUUGUUGUUUUAUUUUUUACUGCCACAAAUGUCAGGUCCACUUAGGAACGUCUUUGAUGAAGCAAUAAAAAUUAUUUAAUUAAAUUUUAGCCCUCGCCUGUGACUUUUAAUUGUUCUCUGUGGCAAAAUGUGGGCGUACAGAGCUGUCCUUACGUGCCAGGGUGCGCAGCGUAGUCCUGAACCAGUCCUGGGGCAGCCUAGCUGGGGGCUGGGCUGGCUGCUGGCCUCAUGAACAUGCUUUGCCCAUUACUUGAGACACAGCUGACUACUGUGCUUCUUCAGGCUCUACAUUGGCAGAUUUUUUUUUUCUAAAUGAAUGGAAUUAGCCUGUGUUUCAAGGUAAACCACCUGCAAUAUGUAUUUUCAGUAAAAACAAUUAUAAGCAGAAUUUAGAGAACUUGUAUCUGCCACCGAGCUUCCCAAUACAGUCUUCUCUCCUAAAGUCUGAUCAUUCCACUUAAUGUGGUUUUAGACAUUGUACAGUAAAAAGUAUUACCAUAUGAAAGAUUUGCAUGACAUGGCAAAACAGCAUUUUCAAAUGAUUAGUAAUACGUGGUGUUAUAAAGCUCUGCGUCAAUCAAAAAUCCAUUCAAAGGGCAAGAUAGACCAACAGAUCUCAGCAUAGCACAGUAAGAAAAGCUGACGAGGAGGUUUCAUAUGCCCCAUUGCUGUCACAAGGUUUGAGAAACGGCCACUUGUUGAGUUUUGGUGUAACACUGAAGAGUAAUAUCCAGAAUUGUUUGGAAAAGUUGCUAAAAUGCCUCUCCAUUUUUCAACUGUAUAUCUGUUCAAAACCAGGAUUUCCUCGUUUACUUCAAACAAAACAACAGAGAGCAGCGGAUUGAGUACAGAAAUGCCAGGAGAGCAGCUUCAGUCUGUGAAGCCGGACAUUGAGGAGGGUUACAGAAAUGAAAAACAGGCCACUUUUCUCCCUGAACUGAUUUCUUUGUAAAAUUUAUUUUUUAGAGGAUGAUGUUAUUUCUGUUAACAUGUAGUUGGUUAGUGGAGUUGCUUUGGAAUGAUUGAUAAAUAUUUUAAAGAUUUCUAUUGUAAUUAAAAAUAGAUUGAAUUAUGAUAGAA